UCGCCCUACGGGAGGCAGCAGUGGGGAAUAUUGGGCAAUGGGCGCAAGCCUGACCCAGCAACGCCGCGUGAAGGAAGAAGGCUUUCGGGUUGUAAACUUCUUUUGUCAGGGACGAAGCAAGUGACGGUACCUGACGAAUAAGCCACGGCUAACUACGUGCCAGCAGCCGCGGUAAUACGUAGGUGGCAAGCGUUAUCCGGAUUUAUUGGUUGUAAAGGGUGUGUAGGCGGGAAUGAAAGUCAGAUGUGAAAACUAUGGGUUGAACAAAUAGCUUGCAUUUGAAAUUGUAUUUUUUGAGUGUUGGG
This 305-nucleotide ribosomal RNA is filed under the name uncultured bacterium. RNAcentral describes it as "bacterial SSU rRNA". It matches the Rfam family "Bacterial small subunit ribosomal RNA", at positions 335 to 653 of the family's 1533-position model. The record is from RNAcentral.